Molecule: non-coding RNA, 425 nt
Organism: Arachis ipaensis
Lineage: Eukaryota; Viridiplantae; Streptophyta; Magnoliopsida; Fabales; Fabaceae
Source: RefSeq, a predicted model, not a curated record
CAAGUUGCUGAAUAUUUGAUUGUGAUCUCAAGUCUCAACUUCUGAAUCGGCUUGAAAAUGUCUGAUAUACAUGCAGUACCACUUAAAUUCAAUUUGCCAAUUUGGUGUAACAAAAUAUUAUUCCCACCCUCCCCUUCUCUUUUACAUAAACACAGAAGAAAAAAAAAAGGAAAAAAAAACUUUAUCACUUAUUGCCUUAUUUGAGCAACUACUAUGCUUAUUAUUUUUAAUAAAUCUGUUGGUGAUAACUUUUCAUGUGAAAUCGGCUUUAGAUCUUCUUCAACUCCUGCUGCUAGCUACUUUACUUUGAAAGUUUCAAGUUUUAAUAUUUGCUGAGAAAGAAAAAAGGAGGAUUGCUUUCUAUUUUCUACUUGUUUCAGAUCUUCUAAGGCAAGAAUGACUUAAAAGAUGGAAAUGAAACAUAC